ACGCACGCUGGGGGCGUGCCUCAUCCCUGCAAGUAGAACGCUGAAGAGAGGAGCUUACUCUUCUUGGAUGAGUUGCGAACGGGUGAGUAACGCGUAGGUAACCUGCCUUGUAGCGGGGGAUAACUAUUGGAGACGAUAGCUAAUACCGCAUAACAAUGGAUGACACAUGUCAUUUAUUUGAAAGGGGCAAUUGCUCCACUACAAGAUGGACCUGCGUUGUAUUAGCUAGUAGGUGAGGUAAUGGCUCACCUAGGCGACGAUACAUAGCCGACCUGAGAGGGGGGUCGGCCACACUGGGACUGAGACACGGCCCAGACUCCUGCGGGAGGCAGCAGUAGGGAAUCUUCGGCAAUGGGGGCAACCCUGACCGAGCAACGCCGCGUGAGUGAAGAAGGGUUUCGGAUCGUAAAGCUCUGUUGUAAGUCAAGAACGGGUGUGAGAGUGGAAAGUUCACACUGUGACGGUAGCUUACCAGAAAGGGACGGCUAACUACGUG
Molecule: ribosomal RNA, 496 nt
Filed under: uncultured bacterium
Lineage: Bacteria
Description: partial 16S ribosomal RNA
Rfam family: Bacterial small subunit ribosomal RNA
Source: RNAcentral